Long non-coding RNA from Bombus terrestris (buff-tailed bumblebee), 5269 nucleotides. RefSeq lists it as uncharacterized. The transcript has 2 exons. Lineage: Eukaryota; Metazoa; Arthropoda; Insecta; Hymenoptera; Apidae. The record is from RefSeq and is a predicted model, not a curated record.
ACGCAGGCUGAGACUUAAAGUUUUAUCGGGGGGAGGUAAAAACGAAAACUUUCUUCUCCAAAAUGGGGUUUGGUUUGUCAGUACCUUUCAGUCUGCCAAAAUUUUCACGUUUAAAUCGUGGACACCCUGUAUAAAGGGUUUUUACUAUAUGCACGUACGCGUGGUCGCGUUCUCUCGUAACACGUCAGUUCCACGUGCCUGACCUCAGCUGCCUGAUCUUCCGCGAGUUAGCAAACAGGCGACCUUCCUUAUUACGUAAUACGGCGCAUUUCCACGUGUAACGUGAUCUACUCGGAAAACUGCGAUUGUCGCCACGUGGAAGGGAAUCCCGUUCUAUUCUACGACGGACGAUAUAUCUUCGGUGAUCGCUACGAAUCUAUUUGCAUUUAUCUCGCCAGCGACGCCUCCCAUUACAUACAUAUGUAUGCAUAUUAAAACCAGUACGCCAACACCUCUUAGUACUCUGGUUUUUUACCGUUCCGCGUCUGACAGAUGCAUUUGACAAAUGUAACUACGUUUCACGACUUCUUCCAUUAAUCUUUUUCUUACUCUACCUCUGCUUUAGUUUUUUUCCUCUUCGACGAAUGUUUCGACUAUGAGCUCUGUUACCAGCCGAUAUACCACAGCUUUCAGAUUUUUUGCUUCCACUAUUGUACCAAGAAUUUGCAGCUGCUAAUCUCGCGAGACUAAUAUGUUUAUUCUUACACGCGUGUAACAUGGUUAUUAACGUAUUUAAAUGUACAUUAGACGUUAGUAGCUCUGGCGUUAAAAAUGACCGUGAUACCGUGAUUGAAAUAGGAGAAUAUAAAUGAAAGGAAUAAUAAUAAAUAGCAAUAAAAUUAGUGCAAAGAUAAUUGGACAUAGCACCGUAUUAACUCGAAAUUAAUUUGCAAUUUGUAUUUUCAGACUGAUCCAUCUAAUAACACAGAAUGGCUUGAAAUAAUUGAAGCAUUUGUUACAUAGAAUAAUUGGUAGAGUUUUGUCAUUCGAACCGUGCGAUGGAUUCUGAAAAUCGCUUAAAUCUUACAAAACACUCUAGCGUGUCGUUUAAACUAUUAAAUUCUUUUCAUUAAGACUUUGUAUCUUAUACGGUUACGGUCAUUUUCAGAUUAUUUGUCAAGUCCUCCUAUCUUCGAAGUAUUCGACUACAUGCAAUAAUUAAUAUUAUGCAAUAUGCGUGUUUUUUAAAAUGAUAACAUUGUUCGAAUAAAUCAUACGUGCAUGCUGUUAACGCUUACAUAACAUGUUGCUAAUACUUUCUUUGCAAAGGACUUUAGCAUAUCUUUAUCGAUACAAACUUAUAAUUUACAAUAUCAUUAAUUACUAUGUAAAUUUGUACCUAAAGAUUGCUAAUCUGUACCUCAAUUACGUUAGUUUAAUAGUUCAUAAAUUGUAUCGUAAUACAUUGACCGAUUACUUUGUAAAUUCGUACUAAAAAAUUGUUGAUCUAUUCUUAAAUUACGCGAAUAUGAUAAUCCGUCGAUUUUAUUGUAAUAUAAUACUCGUUAUUGGUCACGUGUCCCUGCCAUAAUCGACAGACGCGAGGAGCCAUGUAAAACGCCGAGAUUAAAAUGAUUUCACAAGUCGAAGAACGACAUAAUCAAUUUCCAUAAAUGGAUCAAUUACCGAGAUAUCAGUCCGACGGUUUGCGCAACUAAAUUGGCAUACAGUGUAACAGAGAGUUUCAAUUAAUGUGGCUUAUUUUCGGUCGCUUUCGUCGGGUCGUACGAAUUCCAAGAACGGUUGCAUUCGUUAAACCGCCGUACGAGCUGAAUAUGCCACCUAUAAUCAGUCGUUCACGUGGCUGAAACUUACAAGGACGAAGACCCGAUUCGUUUCGGUUACACCAGACUGGUCUGGUACGCGGUCCGUUUCUUCGUACGAGAAAAAUAUCGAUGAUGCAUACUAAAGUUAUGUCAUCUCGCUCGUCUAACGUGUUAUCCGCGGUAAAUGUUUGUAGGAAACGCGCAUACGGUUGCAGACGCUUCUUUCCGACUAUUCCGAUAGCCAGUCAAACUUUAUCGAUCGAUCGUAUCGAUCGUUAUGGCGUUACGAUCAUUCAUCGACGAUCAUCGAAAGUAGGAGAAAGUAUUUUCGAUCAGAUUACAGAUAAUUUUAGAAAGUUACCGUAAACGUAUCAUAGAUGGCAGUUCAACGUCGGGAAUACACGUGAAACAAAGUUCGGCCGGAUCGAUUUAUUUUUGCGUUCAUUGACACGCGCGAUUCAGCAGCACCGAUCGAUUUGGAUAAACUUGAAAUUUGAAUUCGAUCUUGAUAUCGUAGCCAAGUUGGUAACUCGCGAAGGGUGGAGGGAAAAAGGGCGAGUGCCAAUUGUAACGAAUUUUGAGGUUAACAUUUCUUCGUACUCUAUGCGCUCUUGGUCGCUGUAUCGCGUCGCGAAUUAAAAUUUUCUCGCUUUUGGAGUGGUUUUAAGAAAUUCAGGCGUACGACGAAAAACGAAUACUUUUCAUUUUUCAGAGUUUAAUGCGUUAUGUAUUGCCUAAAGUCGUAAGUGAAUAUAACGCAGAACAGAACGGAGAAUAAAAUGAUAUUUGAGAAAAUAUAAAGUCGUGGCAUUAUGAUAUUAAAAAACAAAUUUGACAUUCCCCAUUCUUCUUGUAAAUCUAUCCGAAUCAUUGCUUGAGAAGUCCUCGACAGAAAAUGAAAUACGAGGCUACGGAUUACAGGAAUACGCGUGGGACGACAAUAUCAGCCAGAAUUUUUCAAUGCAUAUUUAUUAUUCAGUUCCGGCAAAUGGAAAAUAAGACUCGGAUUCUGAUAAACGUGUAAAGAAAACGAGGCGAAUAGGACACGAAGAAUUGGAAAAACGGCAGGAGAGAGAAAAAGAGAAAGGCGAUUUUAUGGAUUUAUCUAGAAUGAGUCGAAGGAGGGACGGAUUGGAAUUUCUUUGGAGUUGCUGGCGUCGAGGGUUGUUGCCCUGAAAUGGUCGGCACGUGUAACCCUCCGGCGUCCUUGAGGUCUUUAGAUGUCCGCUAAGAACAUAGGAGAUUCUCACGGUCCUUCCUAAUUCGUUAGGUAGAGCCCUCUAGGAUGUACGAGCCCUUCUAGAAUAGUCUGCUAGGGUAGAUCGUACUCGGGAUACGCAUAGACGUUCGACGAGUCAUCUCGCUAAUAUUUAGGAAAUUUUUUAGUUUCUCCUUAAUAGAUAAGAAAGAAAUAGGCACAUUUGUAUAAUCCCAUUGUCUAUCGUAAUAUAUAUAAUAAGUUAAUGCGAUGAUGCAUGCGAUGAAAAAGAUCAUAAUAAUAUUUUUUCAUUCAUCCACUUUCUCCAGUCUCGCAUCUGAUUUAUUCGUAAUUUAAAUACGAUCAGCUGUAAAUUAUUUGCAAAUUAUUUGUCUUUAUGCAAAAUAGUCGAUGUACAUUGCGCUAUAGAGCACCGUAAUACUCGGGGUUAGAAGGUCGAAGAAAGUUGAAAUUAUAGAUAUUAAACGGAUAAAAGAGUGGAUAAUACGGGAAGGAAAAAAGAUUAUCUCUCUGUUUGGCCUUAAUGUCUCGUCAUCGAAUUUGCUUUCUCGAUGAAAUUGACACGUUAUCGCUUUUAUGGUCCUUAAUGACACCUACAUUGUUAAUGGCGUAACGCCCAAUAUCGUUCUUCAAAUGAUUUCGAUUACUAAAUAGUAAUUAUUCUCCAUAAUAUAAUCUUCUUUCUUAUAUAAUCGGUACAUUUUUUCGCACAUUUCUGUAACGUCGACGGAAAUUUUUUUUAAUAAAGAUAAUACUUGUUAUUUCGUUUACGAUGUAGUUGAUACAUAGCAUAUCGUAAUAUAAUUAUAGAAAAAAGAAUCGUUUCGUUUUUUGAACGACACGAACAUUGUUAAGGUGAAAAAUAUCUGUGAUAUCUAAUAGGAGAUUGGGAUAUGCAAUUCUGACGUUUUAAAAGACGGGAGAAAGGUAUGCGACUAUAGCGCAGAAUGCGGUAAAAAGAGAAAGUACGAAUAUCGAAUAUCCGUGAGCGUUUCUUAGCGUUCGUUCAUAGUAUCUUAGUAUCAAGGUGCUUUCCUUGGAUAUCGUUAGUCACGGCGAUUAACUCGUUAACUUUCGAGAUUAGGAUAGAUAUUUCCGGUAUAAGGUGUUUUUACGAUAAGUCGCUCUGAAAUGCAUAUUGCUGUUACGCGCGAUUGGCGUGGCUGCGCACGUCUGACUUCGUACUAUACGUCUGUUUACAUUCUAAAGAGCCACGUGCCGGUUAGCCAGCAAGGUGAAAUACCUAUCGUCUCAAAGGGAAAUACGUGACUCCGAGGACGGUUCGUUAAAAUUGUCUAAUUGUUCGAUAACGUUGUUUAUCCAAUGAAAAUUAUUCUAAAACCAUUCUAAGGUGAAAAAUCUCGUUAGAAAAAUGUAAUUAUCCGUUAAAGAAUGAAAUUAUCUCAUUCGAGCAGGCAAUUCCGUUUAAUUUCAUCGACUUCGGAAAACUUCCAAAAUUCUUUAUCGCUUCUAGGAAUCUGACGUUUUGUAACAUGUAUUUGGACGGUGUUUGCACACGUCCCACUACGACUUAUUUUAUUUAUCUUGUUACUUAUUUUUAUGUAUUUCAGUUAUUACUUAAUCUGCAUGGAAAAAAGUUCAAUUUGCUACUAUGUAUGUAGAGAAUAUACGGAUUAUCGUGACAUUUCACUUAUCUUUAUGAUGUAACAUAAAAAAGAAGCAGAAGAAAUACUAUACACGUGUCAGAAGCUGUAACAUGCUAAUGAACAUCGUACGGCACCCUUAUCAGGGUAAUAGUUUAUCAAAAUAACAUUAAUAAUAUAUUUAUUCCUAAGUUUUUUUUUUCAAUCAAAGGUUACAGCGAUAGCGAUACAUUUCGAAACAUUAAAAAGAAGUACUUUGCGUAUCGUAAUAUACCAAAAAGGACUACAAUUUCUCGUAUACUUCCAUAUAUUUAAUUUCUGCUGUCAUUUCCUGCCGUGUAAUCCCUCCCUCUUCAUUUUACAUUAUAUAUUACGAUUAUAAUAAUAUUUAUCAAAGGUAAAAUUAGCCGAAAUCAUCGUUUUUAUAUUAAAAACGUAUAACAGUCUAUAUGUACAUAUAUCGUAUAAUAAUUUUGUCGUUAUUUUCAUAUUUGCAUAUUUUCAUAAGAAACGGUAAUAACGACGAUAAAAACGACGUGACAAAGAUCGAACCUGAGCGUUAUUUAAAUAAAUACGUAUUUGUAAAAACACGAUUUAAAUAACGGCUAAAUGUAAUUUUGAGAUAAUUAAUGCACCGUUUAUUAACGCUUUACAUUUGAAUAAAUUGAUUCUGUCACGUC